GUCUGUGUCAGGGUUGACUGGAGGGAUCUGGUAGACACCACUUUUGUGUUCUGUCUUCCUUGGGUCUUUAUUAUUUCGUAACAUGUCGGGGGUCGUAGAGGGUCUUUUAUACGCAGGUUUCUUGUUCCGUUUUUUUAGGAGGGUUCUUAUUACUCUGGAAUUUCCUAACGCGGCUGGUAUAACUUCAUACUUCGAUGCGUCCUGCGGCAUUGGUGCCUGUAUAUGGGUCGGAUUAUUUGCUGUAAUCUCCAGUCGAUUGCGAGGGCUGUCAGUGACUUCCGUUCUUAUCUUAUCCACUAAAGAGGGUUUAUACCCGUGGUUGGCAGCUAUC
Molecule: long non-coding RNA, 331 nt
Filed under: Androctonus crassicauda
Lineage: Eukaryota; Metazoa; Arthropoda; Arachnida; Scorpiones; Buthidae
Source: RNAcentral